This 466-nucleotide ribosomal RNA is filed under the name uncultured euryarchaeote. RNAcentral's name for it is "bacterial SSU rRNA". It matches the Rfam family "Archaeal small subunit ribosomal RNA", at positions 338 to 815 of the family's 1478-position model. Lineage: Archaea; Methanobacteriati; Methanobacteriota. The record is from RNAcentral.
GGCGCGAGAAAUUUACAAUGCCGGCGACAGCGAUACGGGGGCCUCGUGUGCCCGGUCACAAAUUUGGCUGUUUUAACGCCUAAAAAACAUUGCAUAGCAAGGGCCGGGCAAGACCGGUGCCAGCCGCCGCGGUAACACCGGCGGCUCGAGUGGUAACCGUUAUUAUUGGGUCUAAAGGGUCCGUAGCCGGCUUGAUAAGUCUCUUGGGAAAUUUCGCAGCUUAACUGUUAGGCUUUCAGGGGAUACUGUCUGGCUAGAGGCCGGGAGAGGUGAGAGGUACUUCAGGGGUAGGGGUGAAAUCCUGUAAUCCUUGGAGGACCACCAGUGGCGAAGGCGUCUCACCAGAACGGACCUGACGGCAAGGGACGAAAGCUAGGGGCGCGAACCGGAUUAGAUACCCGGGUAGUCCUAGCUGUAAACGAUACUCAUUAGAUGUAUGGGAUAGGAACAGGCAGGGGAAGGCUAG